GGGGGCGACCUGGUUUCGACGUGGUCGGGGGACCGUUGGCUGCAUGCCGAGAUUCCACGGAUCUCGUUAAACGGUGGAAAACAAACAAGUGACGAAAACAAUUUCGCACUGGCGGCCUAACUAAGCUGCCCGUUCCCGGGACGGGGGGUCACUGGACCGGCCCAAUGGGAGCGACGUUUUCAGUGAAUAGUCCGGCGGGAGGUCCCUGGCCGACGGGCGAAACAAAAGUGGGACUAGCCUGGCGGGGCGCACGUUCCCUGGCCUCCCGACAGGUUAAAUGACAGGGAACUAAGCAUGUAGAUGCCGGCGGGGUACCGGUUACGGACGCGGGUUCGAUUCCCGCCGCCUCCACCA
Molecule: transfer-messenger RNA, 354 nt
Filed under: Candidatus Krumholzibacteriota
Lineage: Bacteria
Also listed under: 2 other names
Description: JACZKN01 sp014859985 Standard tmRNA
Rfam family: transfer-messenger RNA
About the family: Bacterial tmRNA, also known as 10Sa RNA or SsrA, is named for its dual tRNA and mRNA-like properties. Its role is to liberate the mRNA from a stalled ribosome.
Source: RNAcentral